RNAcentral lists this ribosomal RNA (253 nucleotides) under uncultured bacterium. RNAcentral describes it as "partial 16S ribosomal RNA". It matches the Rfam family "Bacterial small subunit ribosomal RNA", at positions 524 to 776 of the family's 1533-position model. The record is from RNAcentral.
UACGAGAGGCCCAAACGUUAUUCGGAAUUACUGGGCUUAAAGAGUUCGUAGGCGGCGCAGAAAGUAGGGUGUGAAAGCCCUCGGCUCAACCGAGGAAUUGCGCUCUAAACUACUGUGCUUGAGGAACCUAGAGGUGAGCAGAACAGAUGGUGGAGCGGUGAAAUGCGUUGAUAUCAUCUGGAAUACCGGAGGCGAAGGCGGCUCACUGGGGGUUUUCUGACGCUGAGGAACGAAAGCCAGGGUAGCGAACGGG